Molecule: long non-coding RNA, 542 nt
Organism: Sphaeramia orbicularis (orbiculate cardinalfish)
Lineage: Eukaryota; Metazoa; Chordata; Actinopteri; Kurtiformes; Apogonidae
Exons: 3
Source: RefSeq, a predicted model, not a curated record
GACUGGUAAAAUAAAGAAAAAAAAUAGUGCUCAGCAUAAAUAAGUACACCCCCUUUGAAAAGUAAGAUUUUAGUCAAUGUCUCAAAGAACACAAGAACAAUUUUAAAAAAUCUGGACAAAACUGAGUUUUAUAGAACAUUUCCUUAACUCAGGACAUGAUAGUAAUGUUGAUACUAUAACUUAAGUGACAAAAUCUUCCAUUUUACUCAAAUUAGUUGAUGCAAAAAUGAACCCACCCCACAACAAAAGCUACUUGAUCUCGUAUUUUGUAGGACCUCCAUGAUUUUUUAGGACAGUACCAAGUCUUUUAGGCAUGGAAUUAACAAGCUGGCGACAUAUUGCAAUAUCUAUCUUUUUCCAUUCUUCAAGAACAACCUCUUUUAGAGCUUGGGUGCUGGAUGGAGAGUGAUGCUCAACUUGUCUUUUCAGAAUUCCCCACAGAUGUUCAAUUGGGUUCAGGUCAGGAGACAUACUUGGCCACUCAAUCACUUUCACCCUGUUCUUCUUCAGAAAUGUAAACGUGGCCUUAGAUGUGUGUUUUG